GGCGUUAACUAAUAAUACCUAAUUUUACUUGGCUUUUUAAAGUUGAACCCGGGGAACUUCACAACUGAAAGUUAAUACGGCAAAAUUACAUAUAUACAACAUUUUAAAGCACAAUAUUACGUUACCUCAAACAUUUAAAAGUGUGAAAUAUGUAUUGAAAGUACCUAGGCAUAGGACUCGCAAUUAACGAGGUACAUCCAAUCGAAUCAUUUACUCAAAUCAGCAUAAGUCCUCGCAAAACAAAACAAAGCAAAAUAGUCCCUACUAAUUACUUAAACUUUAAAUUAGGUAUAAUUUCAAGAGAUAAAUUCAACGUUAGGCAUUACUAAUAAUACCCUAAUUUAACUUGAACUUGAUCAUGUUAAAACACCAAGUCAAUAGCAUUAGUCCUCGCAAAACAAUUCAAAUACAAAACAGUCACUACGUCUUACUUAUUACUCGCUCAAAAAUUUAAAUCAACAUUAUUUUGAAUAGAUUAAGUAACACAUAAUGCGUUACUAAUAAUACCUAAUUAUUACUUGAGCCUUAAGUUGAACCCGGGGAAGUUCAAACCCAAUUAAUUAACGGUCCAAGAUACAAUAUCCAACAUUUAAGAAAGUGUUAAUUGUACCUCAUAUUUUACAAAGUGUGAAAAUUGUAUUGAAAGUACCCCAUGGCAUAGGCAUCGCAUUACUAGUACCUAACAUCCAAUCGAGUCCUUGAGUCAAUAGCAAUAAAAAUCCUUCGCAAAACAAAACAAUGCACAAAUAGGUACUAAACUCAUUACUGAAAAUUUAAAUUAGUAUAAUUUCAAGAAAAGAGACAAAUUACAACAUAAGGCAUUAACUAAUAAUACCUAAGUUACUUGAGCUCAAUCAUGUUAAACUCAAGAGUCAAUAGUAUUAGUUCUCACAAAACAAUACAAAUACAAAACAGUCACUACUUAUUACUCAAAAAUUUAAAUCAACAUUAUUUGAAAUAAAUAAAGUAACACAUAAAGCGUUAACUAAUAAUACCUAAUUUAUUUGAGGUCAAAGUUGAACCCGGGGAACUUCAAACACAAAUUAAUUACUGUCCAAGAUACGUAUACAACAUUUAAAGCAAAUGUUACGUACCUCAAUAUUUAAAAGUGUGGAAAGAUGUAUUGAAAGUAACUUAGGAUGGCAUCGCAAAACUAACGAGGUACAAUCCAAUCGAGUUCCUUAGUCAAUAAGCAUAAGUCCUCGCAAAAACAAAACAAAUGCAAAAUAGGAACUCCUCAUUACUUAAAAUUUAAUCAGAAUAUUGUAAGAGACAAAAUACAACAUAAGGCAUUAAAUAUAGUAAUACUUAAUUAACUUGAACGUGAUAAUGUAAACACCAAAGUCAAUAGCAUAGUCAUCGCAAAACAAUACAAAUACAAAACAGUCACUACUUAUUACCUCAAAAAUUAAAAUCACAUUAUUUGAAGAGAUAAAGUACAAAUAAGGCGUUAAAUAAUAAUAGCCUCAUUUAAUUGAGACUUAAAUUGAACCGGGGAACUUCAAAGUCGAGUUAUAUACGGUCGCCAGAUAAUAUACAACAUUUAAAGAAAAUGUUACGUACCUCAAUAUUAAAGUGUGAAAAUAUGGAUUUGAAAGUACCUGGCAUAGGCAUCGCAAUUAACGAGGUACAUACAAUCUAGUACCUUAGGUCAUAGCAAUAAGUCCUCGCAACAAAACAAAUGCAAAAUAGUCACUACUCAUUAACUUCAAAUUAAAUCACAGUAUAAUUUCAAAGAGGACAAUUACAACAUAAGGCCUUAACUAAUAAUACCCUAAUUAACUUGAGCUUGAUCAUGUACCUCAAGAGUGCAAUAGCAUUACUCCACUUCGCAAAACAAUACAAAUAUAAAAAACAGUCAAUACUUAUUACUCACAAAUUAAUUAAAAUUAUUUGAAUAGAUAAAAGUAAAACAUAAGGCAUUAACUAAUAACAGGCAUAUUUACUUGAGCUUAAAGUUGAACACGGGGAACUCAAACUCAAGUUAAUUAUGGUUUCAAGAAUAAAAUACAACAUUAAGAAAAUGUUGACGUCUUAAUAUUUAAAGGUGUCGAAAUAGGUAUUUGAAAGUACCUGAAAAAAAGCGGGCGGGCGGGGGGGGGGGCAUAGGCAUGUAUUUAACGAGGUACAUCCAAUCGAGGUCCUUUAGUAAAUAGCAAAGUCAUCGCCAAAAUAAUACAAAUACAAAACCGUCACUACUAUUACUCAAAAAUUCAAAUCAACAUUAUUUGAAAAAAGAUAAAGUUACAAGCAUAAGCGUAACUAAUAAUCCAAAUUUACUUGAGCUUAAAUUGAACCCGGGAAGUUCAAACCAAGUUAAUUACGGUCCAAGAUACAUAACAACAUUUAAAGAAAAUGUUACGUACCUAAAAUUUAAAAGGUGAAAAUAUGUACUGAAGUACCUGGCAUAGCGAUCGCAUUAACGAUGGGUACAGCCAAAUCGAGUGCCUUAGUGAAUAAGCAUAAGUCCUCGCAAAACAAAACAAAGGAAAAAUAGUCACUACUCAUUACUAAAAUUUAAAUCAGUAUAAUUCAAAGAGCAAAAUUACAACAUAAGGCAUUAAACUAAAUUAAUUUACCUAAUUAAUUGAGAUUGAUCAUGGUUAAACAACCCACAGUAAUAGCAUUACUCCAAGGCAAAAACAUACAAUACAAAACUGUCACUACUUAUUAUUCAAAAAAUCAAAUCAACAUUAUUUGAAAGAUAAAGUACAACAAAGGCGUUAACUAAUUAAUUACCAUAAUACCUGGACUUAAGUUGAACCCGGGGAGGGAACUUAAACUCAAGUUAAUUACGGUCAAAAUAAAAAAAAAAAACAAAAUUAAAAUAUUAAAACAAAUAUACGUACCACUCAAUAUUUAAAGGGUCGAAAUAGGGAUUUGAAAGUAACUUGAGCAUAGGCACCGCAUUUAAAGAGGUGGUACAUCCAAUCGAGGUCUUUUAGUUCAAUAGCAUAAGUCCUCGCCAAAAACAAAACAAAUGCCAAAAUAGUCACUACUCAUUACUUAAAGUAAAUCAGUAUAAUUUCAACGAGACAAAAUUUACAACAUAAGGCAUUAACUAAUAAUGCAUAAGUAAACUUGGAUUGAUCAAGUUACAACAACCAAGCAUAGCAUUACUCCAGGCAAACAAGUGCAAAUACAAACACAGUCACUACUUAUUAACUCAAAAAUUCAAAAAUCAACAUUAUUUGAAAGAGAUAAAGGUAAACAACAUUAAGCGUUAACUAAUAUACCUAAUUUUCUUGAGUUUAAAGUGAACCGGGGAACUUCAACUAAAGUUAAUUACGGUCCAAGAUCCCUGUACAAACAUUUUUUAAAGCAAAUAUUACGUACCUCAAUAUUAAAAGUGUGAUUGAAAAAUAUGUAUUUGAAAGUACCUGGGCAUACCAUCGCAAUUAAACGACGUACAUCAAUCGAAUCCUUUAGCAAUAGCAUAAGUCUCGCAAACAAAAAACAAAUGCAAAAUAGUCACUACUCAUUACUGAAAAUUUAAAAUCAGUGAUAAUUUUCAAAGAGACCAAAACAAAUAAGGGCAUUAACUAAUAAUAUCUAAUUAACUUGAGCUCAAUCAUGUUAAACUCAAGAGUCAAUAGUAUUAGUCCUAGCAAACAAUACAGAAUGCAAAACAGUCAUACUUAUUACUCAAAAAUUAAAUCAACAUUAUUUGAAAUAGAUAAAAGUAACACAAAGACGUAACUAAUAUUACCUAUUUACUUGAGCUUAAAGUUUAACCCGGAACCUCAACUCAGUUUAAUCACGGUCCAAGAUAACAUACAACAUUGAAAGCAAAUAUUGGUACCUCAAAAUAUUUAAAAGUGUGGAAAUAGGUAUUUGAAAGUUACCUAGGAUAGGCCAUCGCCAAUUAUACAAAGGACAUCCCACUCGGUCCUUUAGCAUAGCAUAAGUCUCGCACAAAACAAAACAAAUGCAAAAUAGCUCACUACAAUUACUUAAAAUUUAAAUCAGUAUUAAUUUAAAAGAGAACAAGCUACAACAAAGGCCAUUAACCGAAUAAUACCUAAUUAACUUGAGCUUGAUCAUGUUAAACACCAAGUCAAUUAGCAUUACUCCAGGCAACAAAAACAAUACAAAUACAAAACUGUCGACUACCUUAUUAUUCAAAAAUUCAAAUCAACAUUAUUUGAAAUAGAUAAAGUACAACAUAGGCGCUUAAUAAAAUCAUACCUAAUUUACCUGAGCCCCCUUAAAGUUGAACCCGGGGAACUUCUAAACUCAAGUUAAUUACGGUCCAAGAUAAAUAUACAAUAUUUAAAACAAAUAUUACGUACAUCAAUAUUUAAAGGUGUAGAAAUAUGGAUUUGAACUACUUGAGCCAUAGGCACCGCCCAUUUACGAGGUAAUCCAAUCGAGUCUUUUAGUCAAUAGCAUAAGUCCUCGCAAAACAAAAAACAAAUGCAAAAUAGUCAAUAUCAUUACUAAAAAUUUUAAAUCAGUAUAAUUUAAAGAGACGGACAAAUUAAAACAUAAGGCCAUUAACUAAUAAUGCAUAAGUAACUUGAGCAUUGAUCAGUUUAAACAACCAAGUCAAUAGCAUUACUCCCCCCCAGGCCAAAACAAUUUGCAAAUACAAAACAGUCAUACUUAUUACUCAAAAAUUCAACUAUCAACAUUAAACAUUAUUUGAAAGAGAUAAAGCCCUAACAAAAUAAGGCCAGUUCGGUUAAAUAAUAAUACCUAAUUUUCUUGAGUCUAAAGUUGAACACCGGGGAACUUCAAACUCAAGUUAAUUACGCGUCCAAGAUACAUGUAAAACAUUAAAAGCAAAUAUUACGUACCUCAAGUAUUUAAAGUGUGAAAAUAUGUAUUUGAAAGUACCUGGGCAGAGGCAUCGCCAAUUAACGACGUAAAUCCAAUCGAAUCCUUUAGUCAAUAGCCAUAAGUCCUCGCAAAAAAAAACAAAUGCCAAAAUAGUCACUACUCAUUACGGAAAAUUUAAAUAAAAAAAAAAAAAACCCAGUAGCAUUUCAAGAGACAAAUUAGCAAAAUAAGCGCCAUUAACUAAUAAUAUCUAAUUAACUUGGCCUCAAUCAUGUAAACUCAAGAGUCAAUAGUUUAGACUCCUCGGACAAAACAAUACAAAUGCCCCAAAACAGUCACUACGUAUUACUCAAAAAUUUAAAUCAACAUAUUUGCAAAAGAAAAGAACACAUAAGGACGUUAACUAAUAUUACCUAAUUACUUGAGCUUAAAGCUGAACCCGGGGAACCUCAAAGUCUCAAGCCUUAAUCACGCGCUCCAAAUACCACAUACAACAUUUAAAGAAAAUAUUAGGUAUCCUCAAUAUUUAAAAGUGGCCGAAAUAUGUAUUUGAAAGUACCUAGGCCAUAGGCAUCGCCACAUUAAAGACUGGGGCUACAUCCAAUCGAGUCCUUAGUCAAUAGCAUAAGUCCAUAGCAAAAACAAAACAAAUGACCAAAAUAGCACUACUCAUUACUGAAAAUUAAAUCAGUAUAAUUUCAAAGAGACUAAUUAAAACAUAAGGGCAUUAACUAAUAUACCUAAUCAAAUUGAGCUCGAUCAUGUUAGUUAAAAACUCAAAAGUAAAAUAGAUUAGUACUCGCCAAACAAUUACAAAUACAAAACAGUCACUACUAUUCUCAAAAAAUUUAAUCAAAUAUUAUUUGGAAAGAGGAUUUAUUAAAGAGUAAAAAUAAGGCGUUUGUUACCUUGAAUAACCUAAUUUACUGAGCUGAAAACUUGAACCCGGGAAAAACAUAAAAAGAAAGGAGAAGGAAGGGGGGAAAAGAGAAACCGAAAGGAAAAAGAAAAAGAAGCAGUUGUAGUCACGACAAGAUACAAAAUUUCCUUGUUUUCCCAUUCUUCCCAUUUUUUACAAGAUAGAUACAUAUACAACAUUUUUAAAGAAAAUAUUACGUCACAUCAAUAUUUAAAAGGGUGAAUUGAAAAUCUAUAUUGAAAGUACUGGGCUAGGCACUCAAUGAAAGGGAGGGGUACACCAAUCGAGUCCUAUAGUCAAUAGCAUAAGUCCUCGGCCAAACAAAAUAAAGCCAAAAUGUCACUACCACUCAUUACUUAAAAUUUAAAUCAGUAUAAUUCAAAAAGACAAAUUACAACAUAAUAAGGCAUUAACUAUAAGACCUAAGAAACUGAGCUUGAUCUGUUAAACACCAAAGUCAAUACAUAGACUACAAAAAACAAUUACAAUACAAAACAGUCACUACUUAUAUAAAAAUUCAAUCAAUUUAUUUGAAUAGAUAAAGUUGUGCAACAAAGGCGUAACUAAUAAUACCUAAUUUACUUGAGACUUACAAGUUGAGAUCGGAGAACUUCAAACUCAAGUUAAUUAAGGGUCCAGAUAAAUAUACAACAUUUAAACAAAUAUUACGUACCCAAUAUUAAGGUGUCGAAAUUGGAUUUGAAAUUACCUGAGCAUAGCAUCGCAAUUAACGGAGGUAGGGGGUACAUCCAAUCGAGUCCUUUGGUCAAUAGCAGAAGAAGUCCUCACAAAAACAAAACAAAUGCCAAAAUAGGCACUACUCAUUACUUAAAAUUUAAAUCAGUAUAAUUUUAAAAAGAAAAUUACAACAUAAGGCAUAACUAAAUAAUACCUAAGUAACUUGAGCUUGAUCAUGUUAAAACCCAACAACAUUGAAAUAACCCGACUUUUAGGUUUUGGGUUUAAUUGAAAUAUUCAUAACUUGUGAGAUAAAUUAAAGAGGACAUUUUUUAAAUUGAGAGAUUAUAAGUAAUUAGAAGUGGAGGGACUGAAGUGUUAAUUUUUUUUUUAAAAUAAUUAGAAUUGAUCUUUCUCUGAAAGAGGCCGACGAAAGGAAGAAAAAGGAAAAAGAAAAAGAAAAAGAAAAAGAGAAGAAAAGAAAAGAAAGAAAAAAAAAGAAGAACAAGAAGAAGAAUAGAGAGAGAGCAGAGAGAAGUUAGAAAAGGGAUAGACGAGGAGGCGGCCGUGGGAAGGAAGAGAAGAGAGAAGAGGGAAGGAAAAAGAGAGGGAAAGAAAGGAGAAGAGAGGGAGAGAGAAAUGAGGAGAAAUUAUAUGGUGUGGUUAAGUUUUGAUCAUGAAAGAUAGAGCGUGCAGAUAACAGUGAGAUGAUGUCAGAUCAAUGUGAAAUUUAGUAUGAUGAUCAUGGGGUUGCGCCAGUCUUCAUAUCUAGUGGUGUUAAUUUCAAUUUGAGGUAAGCAGGAGGUAUACAAUAUGCUUUCUAAACGGAGUUGUUUUUCUAAAAUAUCUGAUUUUGUAUUUCUCUUGAGAGUGUUGAUAUCUGUUGAAAUCCAUGGUUAUUUGUUGGCAUCGUGAUAUGUAUGAUGUGAUUGUUUGAUGGCCUACAUGAUAUGGAAUGGAAUGGUACAUGUACUGAGUGGAUCCGCCGUAGUUCCAUUUAUGGACCGGGAAAAAGCCCGAGAGCUAGGGACGGGAUGAGGCGAUCACUAGUAAUGUAUCAAGGAAAGACCUGGUAUGGGGUCUUGAUGAAAUAUGGAUUCGUUGUUGCUACUCUGGACAUUUGUUUUGAGCCGUUAUUGAUUGUUGGCAUAUUCCCGUCGUAUUGUCUACUUCGUGUUAAAAUUAUUUUUCAGGCGAAAGUAGGGUGUUCGGAAAUACGAGUGGGUCGCGUUGAAAGGACUUGAAGAUUUGUAAUCUUGUUGUAUUAAUUACAUUUUUGGAGACAUUGUAAAAAAAUAUUUGGAGAAUAUUGAAUAUUGAGGAAAAUAGUGCUCUGAUUUGUAUUUGAGAAAAAAUACGGGAAUUUAGGUAAUUAAUGAACGGGAAACGGGAGGGUCGGGUGUCACAAAUUUCUUUCCUCUCUUUCUUCUCUUUCUUUCCCUCUUUAUUCAUUUCAUCUGACCUAUUUUAGAUUUUAUAAGUAUAGUAUAUAUUAUAUAAAAAUAUAUGAUUUUAUUAUUAUUUUUUUUAUUUUCCCUUUCUUUUCCUUUUCCUUUUUCUUUUUCUUUUUUUCUUUUCUUUUCUUUUCUUCUUUCGGCCCUGCGCAUUAAGCCGUUGAAUUAAUAAAUAAAUUACACUUUAACCCCUCCAACUUUUUAAAGUAAUUAUUUUAUUUAAAUGUUCUCUUUAUUUAACUCAAAAAAAUUACUAUCUUUCAAUUUAACCCCAGAAAGAAUUAAAUGCCUUAAUUUAAAUUACAAAAAUUUUAUUUUCUUAAAAUAAAUAAGGUAAUUAAGAGUCGGGAUAUACAUUCUUUCCCUCCUUAAAAAAAAAUUGUCUCAAAAUUUUUUUUUUUUUUCCCAUUCCAACUCUAUCACUCCAUCAAUUCUUCUUUACUAAUUUAUAUAUAUAUUAUAUAUAUAUAUAUAAAUAUCAUGUGUCUUUCUUUUUCCUUCUCUUUAUUCUUUCUUUAAUAGAAGUAAACUUUUUUUUCUUCUUUUUCUUUCUCCAUGCUAUCUCUCUUUCCCAUAACAUAAUAAAAAAACAAACAAAAGGCCCAAUGUGGCGAAAGGGUUUGAAAUUUACACUUUUAAGUCCCUUCAAACUUAAAUAUUUCUUUAAUUUUAUCUCAAAAGUUAUGAAUCUUUCAAUUAAACUCCAAAAUUACUUUACUUAUAUAAUUCAUACUUAGAAUACAAAAUUUAUUAAUUUUACAUAAUAACAUCUAUUAUACAUGUUCGUAUUUAUGUACCUAUUUAUAUCUAAUUUGCUUAAUACAUAUGUAAAAAUUCGGGAUGUUGUUACAAAAGUCAGUAGCAUUAGUCCUCGACAAAACAAUACCAAAUACAAAAAGUCACUACUUAUUAUUCAAAAAUUCAAAUAACAUUAUUUGAAAGAGAAUAAAGUACGACAUAAGGCGUUGAACUAAUAAUACCUAAUUUUCUGAGUUUAAAGUUGAACCCGGGGGAACUCAAACUCAAUUAAUUCGGUUUUCCAAGAUACAUAUACAACAUUUUAUAAAGAAAAUGUUUACGUACCGCACAAUAUUAAAGGUAGUAAAAAUAUGGAUUUGAAAAGUACAGGGGCAGGGGCAUAGAACAGGAACGACCGCGGCGGGGUACAUCCAAUCGGUCCUUAGUCAAUAGAAUAAGUCCUCACAAAACAAAACAAAUGCAAAAUAGUCACUACUCAUUAUUAAAUUUAAAUCACUACAAUUUAAAAGAGAGGAAAUUACAACAUAAGGAAUUAAAUAAUAAACCUAAUUAACUUGAACGUUGAUUAGUUAAAACACCAAAGUCAAGCAUUACUCCUCGCAAAACAAUACAAAUACAAAAACAGUCACUAUUAUUACUCAAAAAAUUUAAAUCAACAUUAUUGGAAAUAAGGAUAAAGUAACCAUAAGGCGUUUUAAAAACUAAUAAAUACAUAAUUUACUUGAGCUUAAAGUUGAACCCGGGGAACUUCAAACUCAAGUUAAUUACGGUCCAAGAUACAUAUACAACAUUUAAAGAAAAUGUUACGUACCUCAAUAUUUAAAGGUGUCGAAAUAUGUAUUUGAAAGUACCUGAGCAUAGGCAUCGCAAUUAACGAGGUACAUCCAAUCGAGUCCUUUAGUCAAUAGCAUAAGUCCUCGCAAAACAAAACAAAUGCAAAAUAGUCACUACUCAUUAUUUAAAAUUUAAAUCAGUACAAUUUCAAAGAGAGAAAUUACAACAUAAGGCAUUAACUAAUAAUACCUAAGUAACUUGAGCUUGAUCAUGUUAAACACCAAAGUCAAUAGCAUCUCCUUGCAAAAACAAUACAAAACAAAACAUCACUACUUAUUACUCAAAAAUUUUAAUCAAAUAUUUGAAUAGAUAAAGUAACACAUAAGGCGUUAAAACUAAUCCAUACCUUAAUUUUCUUGAGUUUAAAGUUUGAACAGGGGAACUUCAAACUCAAGUUAUCUACGGUCCAUAGAUACUAAUACAACAUUUAAGAAAACGUUACGUACCUCAAUAUUAAAGGUGUUGACAAUAUGGGAGUUGAAAGUACCUGGGCAUGGGUCGCAUUAACGAGGUCAUCCAAUCGAGUCCUUUAGUCAUAAGUCCCUCAGAUCAGGGGAUGGGAGAGGGAAUGAUGUUCCCCCCCCCCCCCCCUUCGCCGCCUCUUCCCUCCUCCUUCUUUUCAAAUUUAAAUCACUAGAAUUUCAAGAGGAAAUUACAACAUAAGGCAUUAACUAAUAUACCUAGUAAUCUUGAGCUUGAUUCACGUUAAACACCAAAGUCCAAUAGCAUUACUCCUUGCCAAAACAAUACAAAUACAAAACAGUCAUACUUAUUACUAAAAAUUUAAAUCAACAUUAUUUGAAAUAGAUAAAAGUAAACACAUAGGCCCCGUUACUAAUAAUACUAAUGUUUCUUGAGUUUAAAGUGGAACUAGGGGAACUUCAACUCAAGUUAGCUACGGUCCAGAUACAUAUACAACAUUUAAAGAAAAGUUACGUACCGCAAUAUUUAAAGGUGUGAAAAUAGGGAUUGAAAGUACGCUGGGAAUGGGAUCGCAAUUAACGAGGUACAUCAAUCGAGUCAUUUAGUCAAUAAGUCCUCGACCAAACAAAACAAUGCAAAAUAGUCACUACCCAUUAUUAAAAUUUAAAUUCUAGAAUUUCAAAGAGAGAAAUUUACACAUAAGGCACGUGAAACAACUAAUACUAAGUAAUUGAGCUGAUCACGUAAACACCAAAGUCAAUAGGCAUUAUCCUUCUUGCAAAACAAUACAAAUACAAAAAGUCACUUACUUAAUUACUCAAAAAUUUAAAUCAACAUUAAUUUGAAAUAGAUAAAGUUAAACACAUAGGCGUUAACUAAUAAUACAUAAUUUACUGAGCUUAAGUUGAAUCCGGGGGGGGAGGGGGGAAUUCAAAAUCAAGUUAAUAACGGUUUCAAGAUACAUAUACAACAUUUAAAGCAAAUGUUAGUUACAUCAAUUUAAAGGUGUCGAAAAUGUAUUUGAAGUAACUUAGCAUAGGCAUCGCAAUUAGCGACGUGGUACUCCAAUCGAGUUCUUUCGUCAAUAGCAAUAUAGUCCUCGCCAAACAAACAAAUGCAAAAUAUACUACUCUUAUUUAAAAUUAAUCAGUACAAUUUCAAAGGAGAAAUACACACAUAGGCACUUAACUAUAAUACCUAAGUAACUUGAGCUUGAUCA
This 11068-nucleotide long non-coding RNA is filed under the name Actinidia chinensis (golden kiwifruit). RNAcentral's name for it is "long non-coding RNA (ACHI_LNC001474)". The record is from RNAcentral. Lineage: Eukaryota; Viridiplantae; Streptophyta; Magnoliopsida; Ericales; Actinidiaceae.